Molecule: ribosomal RNA, 254 nt
Filed under: uncultured bacterium
Lineage: Bacteria
Description: partial 16S ribosomal RNA
Rfam family: Bacterial small subunit ribosomal RNA
Source: RNAcentral
CACGUAGGGUGCGAGCGUUGACCGGAAUUAUUGGGCGUAAAGAGCUCGUAGGCGGUGUGUCGCGUCGGCCGUGAAAACCUGCAGCUUAACUGUGGGCUUGCGGUCGAUACGGGCAUCACUGGAGUUCGGCAGGGGAGACUGGAAUUCCUGGUGUAGCGGUGAAAUGCGCAGAUAUCAGGAGGAACACCGAUGGCGAAGGCAGUGUUCUGGGCCAGUACUGACGCUGAGGAGCGAAAGCGUGGGUAGCAAACAGG